GCCGGCGUAGCCCAACGGCAGGAGGCACGCGGCCUAGGACCGCGACAGUGUGGGUUCGAAUCCCUCCGCCGGCA
RNAcentral lists this transfer RNA (74 nucleotides) under Actinomycetospora succinea. RNAcentral describes it as "tRNA-Leu". It matches the Rfam family "tRNA". From Rfam's summary of the family: Transfer RNA (tRNA) molecules are approximately 80 nucleotides in length. Their secondary structure includes four short double-helical elements and three loops (D, anti-codon, and T loops). RNAcentral also lists the same sequence under 2 other names. Lineage: Bacteria; Bacillati; Actinomycetota; Actinomycetes; Pseudonocardiales; Pseudonocardiaceae. The record is from RNAcentral.